Molecule: long non-coding RNA, 1180 nt
Filed under: Marmota monax (woodchuck)
Lineage: Eukaryota; Metazoa; Chordata; Mammalia; Rodentia; Sciuridae
Source: RNAcentral
GCAGAGAGAAGUCCCAUCAAAUGCCACAGUUGGAAGAGAGGGAGUGGCCCCUCAUGGGCCCUCCUGGGGUGGCUCCAAGUCCUUCUCAAUGCCACAGGCUGUGGGAUUCCAUGUCACUGCACUGAGACCCGAAGAGACAAGUCGAAGGCCAUGUCUCUGCCUGACCUUAAGGGUGAGUCAAAAUCUGAAUCAUGCUUUUCCACCAAAGUCUACCGACGGGGCUCUGCCCACAGAGGGGGAGUAAAGGGGUCUGAGGCCGGGAUUCUAGACUUCCAUUGUCUGUGAAUCCCAAGUGUCUUUCUUGAAAAUGGUGGUAGGAACCACAGCUAGACAGGAGCCAUUGGGAAAUAGAGCAGAAGGGGCAAUGCCCAGUGUGUGUAAAUGUGUCUCAACUGCAAUUUUAAAUCUCUCUCUCUCUCUUUUUUUGCAGUGCUGGGUUUGGAAACCAGGGCCUCGCACAUGGAUAGGCAAAUGCUGUACCACGGUGCUGCACGCCCGGCCCUAAACUGCAAAUUCUUGGGGAUGGGUUAAAAUCCUUUCCACCACUAAUUUUUGACAGCCCCAAAUGUCUCAGCUGCCCAGACCUGGUGUCAGGACCCGGGGUCCCCUCCUGUCCAUCAAAGGGCAAGGCAAGGGCAGUCUAGGUCAACUCCUAGGUGAACCUAUUUUUCUAAGCUAUGCCCUCAAUAACGGACACCACCCACUGGCCCUUCCGGCCUGGGCCUGUGUAGCGGUGGGGUCUGAUGGGGACGGCAAUUAACCGGCUGCUUGCCUUCUCUGUCACCCAUGUGUCUCAUGCAAAUUUUUGAUAUUUUGUUCAGAAUGAGUUGUUUGCAUUAAUCUGAAUUUUUAAAAACAUUACACUAAAAUGUAACUUAUCGAGAUCACUCGGGGUUUCGCUCCCCCUCACCUCACCCGGGUCCCCCAUACUUGGGGUUUUGCAGCUGGGGGGGGGGCACAAGAGCAGCAGGUUCUGCUGCGACCAAAAUGCACUGCGGGAGAGGACGGUGGCCACAGCCCCGUUUUGCUGCCCCUGGCCCCCGCGCCCGUCCGCGGCGCGGUCUAGCGCAGGCGAAGGCCCAAGUCCCGAGUAAAAAUAAACGCGGGCUAUAAAUAGGCCUGUAAAAGUCUUCAAGGCACCCGCGCGACAGGAAGGAGGUGCCACCGCACAAGUGCUCAC